UACAGAGGUCCCAAGCGUUGUUCGGAUUCACUGGGCGUAAAGGGUGCGUAGGCGGCGCGGUAAGUCGGGUGUGAAAUCUCGGAGCUUAACUCCGAAACUGCAUUCGAUACUGCCGUGCUUGAGGACUGGAGAGGAGACUGGAAUUUACGGUGUAGCGGUGAAAUGCGUAGAUAUCGUAAGGAAGACCAGUGGCGAAGGCGGGUCUCUGGACAGUUCCUGACACUGAGACACGAAGGCCAGGGGAGCAAACGGG
RNAcentral lists this ribosomal RNA (253 nucleotides) under uncultured bacterium. RNAcentral describes it as "partial 16S ribosomal RNA". It matches the Rfam family "Bacterial small subunit ribosomal RNA", at positions 524 to 776 of the family's 1533-position model. The record is from RNAcentral.